RNAcentral lists this long non-coding RNA (782 nucleotides) under Brassica napus (rape). RNAcentral describes it as "long non-coding RNA (BNAP_LNC026245)". Lineage: Eukaryota; Viridiplantae; Streptophyta; Magnoliopsida; Brassicales; Brassicaceae. The record is from RNAcentral.
CUGAUUUGAAUGUGGGAUAACUUCUUCUUCUCAGCUCCUAUGAGAUUUUUUUCAACUUCCUGGUCAUUCUACACCAGUUUAUGUAUCCAUAUCAAGCUUCUAAAAAAGUGAUUCAUCCUGGUUCGAUUGGAACGACGAAGAAGUUGUCUUAUUCCCAAAUUGGAAAAGUGGAAUCAACUGAUUUGAAAGUGUGAUAACUUCUUCUUCCCAGCUCCUAUGAGAUUUUUUUCACCUUCCUGGUCAUUCUACACCAGUUUAUGUAUCCAUAUCAAGCUUCUAAAAAAGUGAUUCAUCCUGGUUCGAUUGGAACGACGAAGAAGUUGUCUUAUUCCUAACUAGGAAACUGGAAUCAACUAAUUUGAAUGUGGGAUAACUUCUUCUUCCCAGCUCCUAUGAGAUUUUUUUCAACUUCCUGGUCAUUCUCCUCCACUUUAUGUAUCCAUAUCAAGCUUCUUACAAAGUGAUUCAUCCUAGUUCGAUUGGAACGACGAAGAAGUUGUCUUAUUCCCAAACUGGGAAUUUGGAAUCAACUGAUUUGAAAGUGGGAUAACUUCUUCUUCCCAACUCCUAUGAGAUUUAUUCAACUUCCUGGUCAUUCUCCACCACUUUAUGUAUCCAUAUCAAGCUUCUUACAAAGUGAUUCAUCCUGGUUCGAUUGGAACGACGAAGAAGUUGUCUUAUUCCCAAGCUGGAAAACUGGAAUCAACUGAUUUGAAAGUGGAAUAACUUCUUCUUCCCUACUCCUAUGAGAUUUAUUCAACUUCCUGGUCAUUCUCCACCAC